UAAGCAGGAUCACAGCUGUUUUGGAGGAUAGGAUCAACAGUCAGCACUAUCUUGCUAAAUUAGAGAAAAGGGUUGCAUUCUGAAAAAUUAGCAGAUAAAAGAAGGAUGGUUUAAGUAGCAGAUCAGAGUCAAACGCACAAAGGUAGAAGAGAGAAGUUGUCUAGAUAGUAAUAUAACAGAGUAACAUUCAGGGAAUAAAAUGAAUAAGGAAGACAUUGAUUCUGAUAUACUGCAUUGGGUGUACCACAUAAGAAAAUGGAAGCAGAUUGUUCUGACCUACUAUUGACUUAGCUAGGAGUUGUGUAUUUGAUUUAGUGCUUUAUGUUUUUUUAACAGGGAAAACAAGGAAAUUUCAGUAGAGGUCAGAAGACACCUAAAAUAUUAGAAGCCUUGGAAAACAAAGAAAAGGAGAAAGAAUGCAUAAGAAUGAACAGCACAUGGUUCCAGUCUUAAGAGGAAGUUACCAUGGUAUUUUAUUCAAGAAAUCUUUUGUAAGCAGCAGGGGGACAGAAGGACAGAUUUGGACAACUUUUGGACGAGAUGACUUGUAUCCUCAGACCACGUUCUGAUGCUUUCUUAAGCACACGAGCCCACAACAUUAUGCACGGCAAGGUGUCAAAAGACUUUGCUUAUGAGAACAGACAAUUGGAUUAAAUGUGUGUUAAAUACAGGAAGAACUGAAAUAGCAUGAUGGAGUGACCUACUCAAAUCAGUGUGCCUUGGUUGGAUCACUAAAUACCUGCAAUACCACAAGGGAAGAAAAGAGAAAAACAACAAUCAGCAGUGUGCUGCACAUAGUAUGCACAAGAAAAUAAAACCUUACCCACCCACUGCUACCAUGUGAAUGGGAAAAAGCAUUGGGAAACUUGGAAUUGCUCUUGUUAGGAGGAGAAUACAGAAAUCUUGACAUUUGAAACAGUGAGGACAUGUCAUAUCCAGAUCUACUUGGAGAUGCACAGGUGAGCUCAAGAUGAUGGAGGAUAUAAUCACUAAUGAUUGUGUACAGGGCUGACACUCUGUUUUGCCACUUGCUGCUCAAAUAUACACACAGUAUGUGUGAUAGUCUUAGAUGGAUGAAAAUUGCAGGUAGACAGCACAGCAGGUCUGCUAUGAACUGAAGUCAGUCUUCCAGUUGAGGAUGUGUCAUUGUUUUUGUUUCUGAGUUUUCAGGUUUUCCUUUUCUCCUCCCACUGCUGAAAUAAGAGUCCUGAUGGUCUGGCUUCUCCCCCUGGAGUGUCUUCUGGCUGCCUUUGUUCAUGAUUGGCCUCCAGUUCCUUUGAACUCUUCUGCUGAAAGUGCAUUUCUGCUUCUUGAGUAUGCCUUAUAUCAGCUACUGGUUCUCUUCUGCAUAGUACUUUCAUACACUGUCUCCCCUCACAUUCAGUUCUUGGACACUUUUCCUAGGCUUAGAGCACAGCCACUAAGCAAGCAAGGCAGUGAGCAGUGAGAAAGUUGCAAUAAGACCUAAAGCAUAUAGAAUAAUAUGCUUGGGGCAGAAAUUCCUGCCGGAUUAUGACUGCUUUAACAGUAGAUUGAUUUUCUGAAUAAGCAGGAUCUUUUCUUCAGCAAGAACCAACACCGGGUAAAUAACAAUUACAAUUUUAUCUGGAUUUUUAUUAGGUGAAUGUUAAGUUUAUUACAUUAGCUUUGUCUGGUCAUGCCAGCAUCAGUCAAUGAUGAUUUGAAAGCAUUAAGGUGAAUGUAGGGGAGAAAAAAGUAACAAUGGGACAAUAAUGAAACAUAUCCAUGAACUUGCCCAAUUCAAAUGAGUUCUGUUUUUUCAGUGUAUGAGGACCGUAGGCUGCAGAGCUAUUUAGAGAGGUGCUAUUCUUUUAAUUCAUGGUAAAAGGAGUACUAUCAAUGCUGUGACUUUUUUCUAAGAAAGAAGAUUUAAGAAACAUAUGGAGAGCGGCACAUUUGAUCUGUUCACCAAAGCUACAAACACACAAAUCUCUAGUUAUAUGUUUUCCAAAGGAUUUUUGAUUGAGGCAGUUAUAUAAUUUCAAACAGAGAUGAGAGAAUUUCUGAACUGCAAGAAAGCUUUAUUUCUGUAUUCUUUUAAAUCCAAAGAUGAGCUUAGUACUGUCAGAAUAAAGAGAAGAAAUGUACUCUUCAAAAAGUUAUCUAUCUGGUUAUGUGUAUGAGAGAUUGAAAUGGAAGAAAACUUUGUUAAUACCAUUUCAUAUUAUAGCAGAUUAAUUUGUAUAUGACAGUUUAAGUUUUCUUAAUUGAUGAUUAGCUGUGUAAUUUUUUGAUUGUUUGUUUGAAAUGAGGAAUGGGUCUGAGAAGCUAUCAUUCUUGGAAACCUAACUUAGCUAGCACUACUUGUGCUAGUGAGUACUGGGCAAAGAUUAUAAGGAAAUUUGUCCCUUUAAACAGUGGAUAAAAAGGUUAUAAAGAAAUAACAAGUAACUAUGACAUUUCUGACAGAUAGUUUAGCACUUAUUACCUUUCACUGUAGGCUAAUGCUAGGUAGUAUGUUAUUCUUUGCUUGCACUUUUUGUAUCCAUGCUCACCAUAUUUUAUCUGUUGAUGACUUAAGGCCUACUUUUAUGCAUUUUCAAGUGAAGACAAAUAAAACACAGGGCAGCAAUUUUUUUUUUGUACUUCUCAGUGAUCUCACAGUGUCUACAGUGCUUUUGGUUGAACAGCAAGAAUUAUAGCAAACCUACUGGAU
Molecule: long non-coding RNA, 2677 nt
Organism: Dromaius novaehollandiae (emu)
Lineage: Eukaryota; Metazoa; Chordata; Aves; Casuariiformes; Dromaiidae
Exons: 5
Source: RefSeq, a predicted model, not a curated record